This 73-nucleotide transfer RNA is filed under the name Ailuropoda melanoleuca (giant panda). It matches the Rfam family "tRNA". Rfam says of the family: Transfer RNA (tRNA) molecules are approximately 80 nucleotides in length. Their secondary structure includes four short double-helical elements and three loops (D, anti-codon, and T loops). Lineage: Eukaryota; Metazoa; Chordata; Mammalia; Carnivora; Ursidae. The record is from Rfam by way of RNAcentral.
ACCUGGCUGGCUUAGUCAGUAGAGCAUGUGACUCUUGAUCUCGGGGUCAUGAGUUCAGACCCCAUGUUGGGUG